ACUUUUUUUUUUUUUUUGUCUUUCUGAGACAGGGUCUCGCUAUGCAGUUCAGGCUGGGCUUGAGCUCACUUUGUAGCCCAGGCUGGCCUCGAACUUGCAGCAAUCCUCCUGCCUCAGCCUUCCGAGUGCUGGGAUUACAGGCGUGCACCACUAUGCCUGGCUUGGGAAACUUUUUAACACUGCAAACAUCAGAAGUUUUAAGACUGGGCAUAGGAAAAAGUUUAUACUCUACUACAAUGCUCCUGGUGUACUUCUACAUAAGACCUCUUAGCGAUGUCAGUCAACUGGAGUAUGGAAACCAAACAUUAGGGGAACUAAUGGGUCGGAAUCGCUAUGGCACUGGAAACUAG
This 350-nucleotide long non-coding RNA is filed under the name Chinchilla lanigera (long-tailed chinchilla). RNAcentral's name for it is "lncRNA (ENSCLAG00000024487.1)". Lineage: Eukaryota; Metazoa; Chordata; Mammalia; Rodentia; Chinchillidae. The record is from RNAcentral.